RNAcentral lists this ribosomal RNA (164 nucleotides) under uncultured bacterium. RNAcentral describes it as "partial 16S ribosomal RNA". It matches the Rfam family "Bacterial small subunit ribosomal RNA", at positions 355 to 511 of the family's 1533-position model. The record is from RNAcentral.
UAGGGAAUCUUCCACAAUGGACGCAAGUCUGAUGGAGCAACGCCGCGUGUGUGAUGAAGGCUUUCGGGUCGUAAAGCACUGUUGUAUGGGAAGAACAGCUAGAAUAGGAAAUGAUUUUAGUUUGACGGUACCAUACCAGAAAGGGACGGCUAAAUACGUGCCAG